CUCAAUCUAUACCAGCAUAGAAGGAUGGCUUCUUUCCAAAAGCAAUUAGCUGUUUUCAUGCUCCUCCUCUGGGUCGCUACAGUUGGGUCACCAAACAUGCUGGUUAUGGCUGUACGUGAUUUUCCAUUAGAGGUAGCUGCCAUGGAACAAACUUUGUUUCUAAAUUCACUAAUCACUUGCUAGAGACCAUGUCAAACAAACAACCAUUAUUUUCCAGAGGAGAAGACUAGUAUUUCUCUCGCUCGUUAAAUGGAUAUUUUUGAAUGUCGUGUGUACGUCAUUUAAUAAUAAAGCAAUUUGCAAUUGCUUCAGCUGUAUGUUGCAACAAAUCGCAUCGUCAAAUAUUUGUACUGUAAACAUGUCUUAAAUAUCGCAUGUUCUUGUGUCGUCUUUAAUUUGUUUCCAUGUUAUAUAUGUAUUAAUUAUCGGCGUAUGCAUUCCACAUUAUGUA
Nicotiana attenuata is the source of this 451-nucleotide long non-coding RNA. RefSeq lists it as uncharacterized. The transcript has 2 exons. The record is from RefSeq and is a predicted model, not a curated record. NCBI's taxonomy places the organism in Eukaryota, Viridiplantae, Streptophyta, Magnoliopsida, Solanales, Solanaceae.